UCNUACGGGAGGCAGCAGUGGGGAAUAUUGCACAAUGGGCGGAAGCCUGAUGCAGCAACGCCGCGUGAGGGAUGACGGCCUUCGGGUUGUAAACCUCUUUUAGCAAGGAAGAAGCUUUUGUGACGGUACUUGCAGAAAAAGCGCCGGCUAACUACGUGCCAGCAGCCGCGGUAAUACGUAGGGCGCAAGCGUUAUCCGGAAUUAUUGGGCGUAAAGAGCUCGUAGGCGGUUUGUCGCGUCUGCUGUGAAAUCCCGAGGCUCAACCUCGGGCCUGCAGUGGGUACGGGCAGACUAGAGUGCGGUAGGGGAGAUUGGAAUUCCUGGUGUAGCGGUGGAAUGCGCAGAUAUCAGGAGGAACACCGAUGGCGAAGGCAGAUCUCUGGGCCGUAACUGACGCUGAGGAGCGAAAGGGUGGGGAGCAAACAGGAUUAGAUACCCUGGUAGA
This 445-nucleotide ribosomal RNA is filed under the name bacterium AS3. RNAcentral describes it as "bacterial SSU rRNA". It matches the Rfam family "Bacterial small subunit ribosomal RNA", at positions 337 to 794 of the family's 1533-position model. The record is from RNAcentral.